RNAcentral lists this non-coding RNA (30 nucleotides) under Bombyx mori (domestic silkworm). The record is from RNAcentral. Lineage: Eukaryota; Metazoa; Arthropoda; Insecta; Lepidoptera; Bombycidae.
UCGGCUUCUAAAAAUGCCAGCAGAUUGGCC